RNAcentral lists this long non-coding RNA (1002 nucleotides) under Fragaria vesca (wild strawberry). RNAcentral describes it as "long non-coding RNA (FVES_LNC004306)". Lineage: Eukaryota; Viridiplantae; Streptophyta; Magnoliopsida; Rosales; Rosaceae. The record is from RNAcentral.
GUAUGCCUGAGAUACACCCGGGCGCCCACUCCAGCUCCUACUUCUUCGGAUAGUGGGUCAUCUGGGGUACAGAUGCCGCCGCCUCACCUAUUCCUUCCGCAGAUGAUACCGGCCAUACCUGUAGUCGAUGACUCAGGGACGCCGAUUUAUCCACUGCCCCCGCCAGUGGCUCCAUCAGCGGCGUACCGGUUCGUGCCUUUUGAUACGCCUCUUAUUUCUGCGAGGGUAUCAUCAUCGGCGACAGAGACGGAAUCCGUCGCGUCCGCCGCGAGCGCCUCAGGUAAUCAGUGAUGCAUGAUUAUUUUUAAAGGGUCUCCGAUUUAAAUAAUCAAUUUGGUUUAUCAUGUGAUAGGCACCGUCGGAGCGAAGCCGACAAAGAAGAAGAGAGGCCCCGUCACAGGGAAGGCUCUCGAGAAGAUCGUGGGUACCGUGGGGAGGAUCGUCAUCAAUACUGACGGGGAGUGGCCACAUAGUAUCGGGCGGGAAGUCGAGGACGUACUCCGGCCGCGUGGGAGCGCUCAUUAGGGAUAGAGUCCCUAUGUUGUGGUCAGACUGGGGCGAGGUCCCGCAGGAGGUUAAGGACAUGGUCCACAACGCGAUGUCGGUGAGUUUACAAAAUAAUAUUAUGUAUUACAUUGUUGAUUUCUCGAAAAACUAAACUAAUAAACGGUUAAAUACAGGUGUGGUUUGAGGUUCCCGAGCACCUUAAGGACAGCUGGGCCGACGUUGUGCAUGGGGGAAGGUACGUUCGGAAGUUAAUGAAAAACAAAAUUGUAUGUGAUAUUAAUAAUAUUUCUAAUAUUUUUGUUGUGUCUGUAGGUACAAGGAGUGGAAGAACGAGUUGCGGACCCAUUGGACUACGCACGGGAACGCACGUUCUGGUACCCCUGCUGAGUUCCAGUACAGGGAGUACGAGUGGCGUUGGCUUCUGACAUCAGAAUUCAACAACCCUCGUAAACAGGUAUUUAAAAAAAUUAUUAGUUAAUUUGUCAUUAAGUACGU